RNAcentral lists this ribosomal RNA (897 nucleotides) under Triticum aestivum (bread wheat). RNAcentral describes it as "partial small subunit ribosomal RNA". The record is from RNAcentral. Lineage: Eukaryota; Viridiplantae; Streptophyta; Magnoliopsida; Poales; Poaceae.
AUGGCCGCUCUCCUCGUUGAGCUGGCGAGAGGGGAACAAGUCGCUGGUGAAGAUGGGAGGGUGGAGACGCUGGUGAGGAUGCAGAACGGGCUCGAGGAGACAGCCCUGCACGAGGCGACCCGCGCUGCUCAGAUGCCCACGAUGGCUGAGCUGAUGGCAGCGGACCCCUUCCUCGCUCGCGUCCCGGACGACGGAACCGCGCCGUUGUUCCUCGCCGUCUCCCUGCGACAUGAGGAAAUCGCGCGGGAGCUCCACGAGAGAGACAAGAAGCUGUCAUACUCCGGGCCUGAUGGGCAGAAUGCUCUUCAUGCUGCAGUUCUUCGAAGCAGAGGUUGCGCCAGCUUACGUGACGCCCGUGGGAGAACUUUUCUCCAUGUUGCCGUCACGAAGAAAAGAUAUGAUAUAAUUCGGUAUGCGUGCCAGACACCCAUGUUUUCGUCAAUUAUGAACAAGCAAGAUAAUGAAGGAAACACUGCACUACAUCUAGCUGUGGAGGUUGGGGACUGGUGGAGUUUCACUUGUCUCUUCGCAAACAAAGAAGUAGAUUUUAAUCUACCAAACAACAAGCAACAUACCCCGCGAGAAAUUUCAGUUAGCAGUACUCCAACCGGGUUGUACUGCCUGUCGCACUCAUGGAUUUUGAUACAACAAGCUCUCAUAUCUGCCGACGCUACACUUCAUAUCUGUCGGCGAAAUAUCAUGAAAAAGGGACCUAGUAGCCAAUCUGACGCUAAGAUUGAUGCGGUAAUAUCAAACUCAACGCAAUUUCUCGGCCUUGGCUUAGCAUUAAUUACAACAAUGGCUUUUGGUGCUGCUUUCGCCUUACCUGGGGGUUACAGAGCAGAUGACCACCUUAAGGAAGGAACACCAACUCUAUCUACCGAAAAAGUAUUCUAA